RNAcentral lists this ribosomal RNA (305 nucleotides) under Bacillus sp. Expt1_482A3_P9WS_F09. Its description in RNAcentral is "bacterial SSU rRNA". It matches the Rfam family "Bacterial small subunit ribosomal RNA", at positions 1046 to 1352 of the family's 1533-position model. The record is from RNAcentral. Lineage: Bacteria; Bacillati; Bacillota; Bacilli; Caryophanales; Bacillaceae.
UGGUUGUCGUCAGCUCGUGUCGUGAGAUGUUGGGUUAAGUCCCGCAACGAGCGCAACCCUUGAUCUUAGUUGCCAGCAUUCAGUUGGGCACUCUAAGGUGACUGCCGGUGACAAACCGGAGGAAGGUGGGGAUGACGUCAAAUCAUCAUGCCCCUUAUGACCUGGGCUACACACGUGCUACAAUGGACAAUACAAAGGGUUGCGAGACCGCGAGGUGGAGCGAAUCCCAUAAAAUUGUUCUCAGUUCGGAUUGCAGGCUGCAACUCGCCUGCAUGAAGCCGGAAUCGCUAGUAAUCGCGGAUCAA